Molecule: long non-coding RNA, 518 nt
Organism: Zalophus californianus (California sea lion)
Lineage: Eukaryota; Metazoa; Chordata; Mammalia; Carnivora; Otariidae
Exons: 3
Source: RefSeq, a predicted model, not a curated record
UUGAAAGCAAGAGAUUUCUUGAUCUUCAUAGAAGUUCCUUUCCAUUAAUAUUACCAUAACCAUUGCUUUGGACAUUGAUGAUCUUCAUUAAUUGUAUAAAUUUGUUUUUGGACAUGAUCUUCAGAAAAUCAGAGCUUCUCACAGUGUGAUCUGCUACCACAACCAGUCCAUGAAUUUUACCUGGCCAACAAGAUAGGAGCUUAUGCCAGAAUGAAAAUCCCCUGUCAUCAACACAUUGUUUAGCUCCGGAGAAACUAAAAGGCAGCCUUGUGCUGUUAUAAUGAUGGAGGAGGUUAGAAGUUAGAGGUGAGUGUUACAGCCCAUCAUAUCCCUCGUGCCACUGUAGGCUUUCCAAGCCCGAAGACCAAGGGGAGGGAAGUGAGAAUGUAAAACUCCAUAUGAAUUUGAAGUAUUAAAUGAUUGGACAUUUUACUGACUAAAAUGAGACUGCUUGGCUUGAAGUAACCAGAAAAUAUUUUAUCAUCUAAGACUGAAAAAUGAUAUAAAAUGUGCGUCAA